Molecule: ribosomal RNA, 504 nt
Filed under: Praeteropus gowi (speckled worm-skink)
Lineage: Eukaryota; Metazoa; Chordata; Lepidosauria; Squamata; Scincidae
Description: Anomalopus gowi (speckled worm-skink) partial large subunit ribosomal RNA
Rfam family: Bacterial large subunit ribosomal RNA
Source: RNAcentral
AAAGGUCCUGCCUGCCCAGUGAAAUAUUUUUAAACGGCCGCGGUAUUCUAACCGUGCAAAGGUAGCGUAAUCACUUGUCUUCCAAAUAAAGACCAGUAUGAAUGGCUAAAUGAGGACAAACCUGUCUCCUACACCCCAUCAGUGAAACUGAUCUUCCAGUCCAAAAGCUGGAAUAUUUACAUAAGACGAGAAGACCCUGUGGAGCUUAAAAUUCACUACUACAAACCCCUUCCCGCACAGCUAGUACAAGAUUUUAAGUUGGGGCGACUUCGGAACAAAACAAAACUUCCGAGCACAGAACCACCAUUUCUUACUAAGGCCUACAAGCCAAAGAAAACAUUGACCCAGUCAUACUGACCAACGAACCAAGUUACCCCAGGGAUAACAGCGCUAUCUUCUUCAAGAGUCCAUAUCGACAAGAAGGUUUACGACCUCGAUGUUGGAUCAGGGCACCCCAAUGGUGCAACCGCUAUUAAAGGUUCGUUUGUUCAACGAUUAACAGCC